GAGACCAGAGCCGGCCCUCUUCCUGUUCCAGUCCAGAACUGAAGGGGGGUUUCCCUGCGCCCUCUGCGACUCCGACAUGUGCCCCCGGUACCUCCGAACAGACCAGAGAAGGGGAAGUGUCUGGAGGUGAAGCAGCAAUCUUGCAACCAUGAGUACAGAAACAACACAUUAAGUAUGGAGAAGCUGGAAAAGAAAAGGAGCCGGAUACCACUCAAC
Bubalus bubalis (water buffalo) is the source of this 216-nucleotide long non-coding RNA. RefSeq lists it as uncharacterized. The transcript is spliced from 2 exons. NCBI's taxonomy places the organism in Eukaryota, Metazoa, Chordata, Mammalia, Artiodactyla, Bovidae. The record is from RefSeq and is a predicted model, not a curated record.